RNAcentral lists this ribosomal RNA (996 nucleotides) under uncultured bacterium. RNAcentral's name for it is "bacterial SSU rRNA". It matches the Rfam family "Bacterial small subunit ribosomal RNA", at positions 8 to 993 of the family's 1533-position model. The record is from RNAcentral.
AGAGUUUGAUCCUGGCUCAGGACGAACGCUGGCGGCGUGCCUAAUACAUGCAAGUAGAACGCUGAAGAGAGGAGCUUGCUCUUCUUGGAUGAGUUGCGAACGGGUGAGUAACGCGUAGGUAACCUGCCUGGUAGCGGGGGAUAACUAUUGGAAACGAUAGCUAAUACCGCAUAAAAUGAAUUAUCGCAUGAUAAUCCAUUGAAAGGUGCAAAUGCAUCACUACCAGAUGGACCUGCGUCGUAUUAGCUAGUUGGUGGGGUAACGGCUCACCAAGGCGACGAUACAUAGCCGACCUGAGAGGGUGAUCGGCCACACUGGGACUGAGACACGGCCCAGACUCCUACGGGAGGCAGCAGUGGGGAAUAUUGCGCAAUGGGGGCAACCCUGACGCAGCCAUGCCGCGUGAAUGAAGAAGGCCUUCGGGUUGUAAAGUUCUUUCGGUAGCGAGGAAGGCACUUAGUUUAAUAAACUAGGUGAUUGACGUUAACUACAGAAGAAGCACCGGCUAACUCCGUGCCAGCAGCCGCGGUAAUACGGAGGGUGCGAGCGUUAAUCGGAAUAACUGGGCGUAAAGGGCACGCAGGCGGUUCCUUAAGUCUGAUGUGAAAGCCCCCGGCUCAACCGGGGAGGGUCAUUGGAAACUGGGGAACUUGAGUGCGGAAGAGGAGAGUGGAAUUCCAUGUGUAGCGGUGAAAUGCGUAGAUAUAUGGAGGAACACCGGUGGCGAAAGCGGCUCUCUGGCUUGUAACUGACGCUGAGGCUCGAAAGCGUGGGGAGCAAACAGGAUUAGAUACCCUGGUAGUCCACGCCGUAAACGAUGAGUGCUAGGUGUUAGACCCUUUCCGGGGUUUAGUGCCGCAGCUAACGCAUUAAGCACUCCGCCUGGGGAGUACGACGCAAGGUUGAAACUCAAGGAUUGACGGGGCCCGCACAGCGUGAGCAUGUGGUUUAAUUCGAAGCAACGCGAAGAACCUUACCAGGUCUUGACAUCCCUCU